Molecule: ribosomal RNA, 1256 nt
Filed under: bioreactor sludge metagenome
Description: bacterial LSU rRNA
Rfam family: Bacterial large subunit ribosomal RNA
Source: RNAcentral
GACAGCCAGGAUGUUGGCUUAGAAGCAGCCACCAUUUAAAAAGUGCGUAACAGCUUACUGGCCAAGCAGUUCUGCGCCGAUAAUGAACGGGAGUAAGUUCGACACCGAAGCAGUGGAAUCCGAAAGGAUUGGUAGGAGAGCGCUGAAGAUCAGACACGAGCCGUACCGUAAGGAGCGGUGGAGGGGUCUUCAGGUGCUUAUGCCGGAAUGAGUAACGAUAAGGCAGGUGAGAAUCCUGCCCGCCGAAAGCCUAAGGUUUCCUGGGGAAGGUAAUUCCGCCCAGGGUUAGCCGGUACCUUAGUCGAGGCCGAAAGGCGUAGACGAUGGAUAGCAGGUCAACAUUCCUGCGCCACUAUAGUGGACCGAUGGAGGGACGGCGUCUGGAUGGUGAGCCGUACGAGUAGAAACGUCGGUAGACCAAUCUGCGGUGUGGGAUAGGCAAAUCCGCCCACGCAAGCCAAGGGUUGGGCUCGAGCGCAUUUACGUUCGUGAAGUCAUCUGAAGGGCGUCCAAGAAAAGCUCCUAAGGGUUGAAACUAUAGUGACCGUACUAAAACUGACACAGGUAGGCGAGACGAGUAGUCUAAGGCGCUCGGGAGAACACUGGUUAAGGAACUCUGCAACAUGACCCCGUAACUUCGGGAUAAGGGGUGCCUUCGAGGGUUAACGCUCUUGGAGGCCACAGUAAAUCGAGAGCUGCGACUGUUUAUCAAAAACACAGGACUCUGCCAACUCGCAAGAGGAUGUAUAGAGUCUGACGCCUGCCCGGUGCCGGUAGGUUAAGGAAGAGGGUUAGCCGCAAGGUGAAGCCCGCGACCGAAGCCCCGGUAAACGGCGGCCGUAACUAUGACGGUCCUAAGGUAGCGAAGUUCCUUGUCGGGUAAGUUCCGACCUGCAUGAAUGGCGUAACGACAGCUCUACUGUCUCAACCAGUGACCCGGUGAAAUUGUAGCCGUGGUGAAGAUGCCACGUUCCCGUAGCUAGACGGAAAGACCCCAUGAACCUUUACUGUAGGCUGGUAUUGGGCUGUGAUAUGUUCUGUGUAGGAUAGGUGGGAGGCGUUGAAGCCGGUACGCCAGUAUCGGUGGAGCCAACCUUGAAAUACCACCCUGGGCAUAUUUUAGUUCUAACGCUGUCCCGUGAAUCCGGGCAGCGGACAUUUCCAGUUGGGCAGUUUGACUGGGGCGGUCUCCUCCAAAAAGGUAACGGAGGAGUUCAAAGGUACCCUCAGCCUGGUUGGCAAUCAGGCGUCGAGCG